Ovis aries (sheep) is the source of this 73-nucleotide transfer RNA. It matches the Rfam family "tRNA". From Rfam's summary of the family: Transfer RNA (tRNA) molecules are approximately 80 nucleotides in length. Their secondary structure includes four short double-helical elements and three loops (D, anti-codon, and T loops). The record is from Rfam. NCBI's taxonomy places the organism in Eukaryota, Metazoa, Chordata, Mammalia, Artiodactyla, Bovidae.
UCUCUGGUGGUACAGUGGUUAAGACUCUGCACUUCCAAUGCAGAGGCCACGGGUUCGAUCCCUGGUAGGGGAA